AUGUGAUCUGAUCUGAUUUUAUUUGAAUCAGUCUGUUGUGAUUAUGUCUGAUCAGAUCUAUUCCAACUUUAUUUGAAUGGAUUUUCUUAGAUUGUAUUUUGUGUGAUUCUAUCGGAGCUCGGUUCUUGUCAGUGGAACUCUGGUCAGGGUUUCCUGUUAGAGGUGUGGGUGGAUCUGGGAGGGAUCGUGGGAUACCUCCAGUGAUCCCCCCCUUACAGUGAAGCUCCACUCUGUCAGAAGGUGAACAGGAUGCAGACGGCAUGUCACACAGGAGUAACAUGUAUGUCUGUAUCCCACCCUGGACCCACAGUGGAGUCCACAGUGACAAGAUCACAGUUCAGGAGAGUCACACUGGCAUUUAAAAGGGGGGUUAAAUGUCUUAUUUAAGAAAAUAAAUGUAGUAUGAGGGUGAAGGUCUCGCUGCCAGAGGGAAGUUUCCAGAAAAAAAGGUACGUAAGGAUCCCUGUGAAUGCUGCUGUAUGAAAAGGUGAGUUUGGGAUUUUGAUUUUGCAUUGAUAUAUCUAAUAUUUUGAAAUCUCAACAAUAACAACACUUGGAGAAGAUUCUGCUGCGUUUUUCUUUUUGAUUUCUUUUAGACUGAUGACCCUGGGACCCAAGACCAAGACAAGGAUGACCCCAAAAGACGACUUGAAGACGAGUGGCCGAGCCCCAACAGAGAUGACGCCAGAGACGACGACCAGCCUGUGAGGAGAAGAAAGAACAACUUUAUUGAGACAUUACUGGAUGCACUGGUGCUUCAAUGACACCAAGCAGAUUCAGACAGGAUGGAACAGAGAUGAUGGGAGGCAGAUCCAGGACCAGUGCAUGACCAUCGCGAGACCAUUCAGUUAACACAAGAGCUCUCUCUCCAAGAUCCCCAAUCUAAUGAAAGAUCAGAUCAACAAACCAGACAAGGAAAAACCCAUGAUGUGAAUCCAGAUUAUGAAAGAGGGGAUGAUUAUUAUAGUGACACAAAAGGGGGAAGUCGGAGCACCCAGAGGAAACCCACACAGUCGCAGAGAGAACAUGAACAGAAAGAACCAGCUGAGCAGCAGAAGAUAAAGAGAUGGUUGGAGGAGCCCCAGGACAGCAGAACCAGGCCAGGAAGAUGAAGAAGAUGAAGACCAGCCCCAAAUGGACAAGAAGAAGAAGAAGAGCGGCUCCAGAUUUCUCCAAUGGUUUCUCUGGAUCUGGAGCUGCAUGUUUCUGAUCUGCUGUUAUUGGCCUCAGCGACCUCCACAGUCUUCAUGUUCUUUUUAAAUAGAUUUACUGUUUUACAUUUUGAUGUACAGUAUAUAUGUAAUUUGGAGUUAAAAUAAGUGUAAUAGAUAUGAAACGAGGGAGAAAUAAAAUGAGGAACAUUCAUGAGAGCUGGUUUGUGAUGUUGCAGAGCUCUGUGUGUUUUUAGUCUCUGCUCACUAAAGACAAAGUGAGGAUUUAAGUUCAGAAGAUUUCAUUCUGAAUCAAUCUCUGAGCAGAAAUGUGAAACAUCUUUCUGAAAUCCUGAAACUGGAGUCGAUCAAAGACUCAAUGUGCAGCAACAUGUUCUCCUCUGAUGCUCCUCGUUGAGUUCCUCUGAGGUUCUCUUCAGCAUCCCUCUUUGAGCAGCUUCACCUCUUUGCUCCGGUUUCCUGAGAGUCUGUGUUGAAAUGUUUCUUUUGUUUUUCCUUCCAGAGGACGUUGGACUGCAGGUCCUCGCCGGACUGCUUCAGGUGCAGUACACCUCCAUGCUCUCCUUCCUCCUGCCCCCCUCCCUCCAAGCGUCCUCGCUAUUCUUCCUCCCUCUCUCCUCUCUCCUCCCUCUCCUCCUUCCACUCUCACUCUUCUUUUUCGCCUAUUCCUCCUUCACUCUUUCCUCUCUCCUCCCCCUCGUCUUCCGCCUUUCACCCUUAUUUUUCUCCCCUUAAUCCCCCUGUCUCUUCUCUCCCUCACCCUCCUCUUUCCCCAUUCUCUCCUAUGUCCUUCCCCUCCUCUUUCCCCUCGCACUCUUCUUUUGCUCCCCUCCCUCCCCCAUUCUCUCCUAUCUCCUCCCCCUCCUCCUUCCCUCCCUGCUCUUCUUUUUAUCCCUUCUUUUGCCCCGUCUCUGCUCCUCUUCCU
Molecule: long non-coding RNA, 2097 nt
Organism: Amphiprion ocellaris (clown anemonefish)
Lineage: Eukaryota; Metazoa; Chordata; Actinopteri; Pomacentridae
Exons: 6
Source: RefSeq, a predicted model, not a curated record